AUGGGAUUUUUGCUCCUUGUAAUUUUCGCUGUAGCCGCUUUGGAAGGUGUCCGGUCCCAGGUGCAGCUGGUGGAGUCCGGAGGGGAUGUGAAAAAGCCCGGAGACUCUCUCCGCCUCUCCUGCAAAGCCUCCGGGUUCGACUUCAGCAGCUAUUACAUGAGCUGGGUCCGACAGGCUCCUGGCAAAGGACUAGAAUGGGUCGCUUAUCUCAACAGCGCUGGGGGUGAUAUACAAUACCUUGAUUCAGUGAAAGGCCGAUUCACCAUCUCCCGGGAUAAUCCCAAGAGUGAGCUGUAUCUGCAAAUGACCGGCCUGAAGCCCGAGGACACCGCCCGCUAUUACUGUGGCAGCGUCUGUCAGUGUAAACGGGACAAGCGCAUUGGGGUUCGCAUCAGACCCAACGGAUGGAGCGAAUUGCCCCUGGGGCCAAAUCCUCCGCUGGUGUAA
Non-coding RNA from Mauremys mutica (yellowpond turtle), 447 nucleotides. The record is from the annotation of a RefSeq genome assembly. NCBI's taxonomy places the organism in Eukaryota, Metazoa, Chordata, Testudines, Geoemydidae.